CACGUAGGGCGCAAGCGUUGUCCGGAAUUAUUGGGCGUAAAGAGCUCGUAGGCGGUGUGUCGCGUCGGCCGUGAAAACCUGCAGCUUAACUGUGGGCUUGCGGUCGAUACGGGCAUCACUGGAGUUCGGCAGGGGAGACUGGAAUUCCUGGUGUAGCGGUGAAAUGCGCAGAUAUCAGGAGGAACACCGGUGGCGAAGGCGGGUCUCUGGGCCGUUACUGACGCUGAGGAGCGAAAGCGUGGGGAGCGAACAGG
This 254-nucleotide ribosomal RNA is filed under the name uncultured bacterium. RNAcentral describes it as "partial 16S ribosomal RNA". It matches the Rfam family "Bacterial small subunit ribosomal RNA", at positions 524 to 776 of the family's 1533-position model. The record is from RNAcentral.